RNAcentral lists this transfer RNA (59 nucleotides) under Colletotrichum chlorophyti. It matches the Rfam family "tRNA", at positions 8 to 63 of the family's 71-position model. Rfam says of the family: Transfer RNA (tRNA) molecules are approximately 80 nucleotides in length. Lineage: Eukaryota; Fungi; Ascomycota; Sordariomycetes; Glomerellales; Glomerellaceae. The record is from Rfam by way of RNAcentral.
UGGCACAAUUGGCUAGCGCGUCAGACUGUUAAUCUGGAGGUUGGUGGUUCGAGCCCACN